UACGUAGGGACCAAGCGUUGUCCGGAAUCAUUGGGCGUAAAGAGCGUGUAGGCGGCUUGUUAAGUCUUGUGUGAAAUCUCGGGGCUCAACCCCGAGCGGUCAUGAGAAACUGGCAGGCUAGAGUGCGGGAGAGGAGAGUGGAAUUCCUGGUGUAGCGGUGAAAUGCGCAGAUAUCAGGAAGAACACCCGUGGCGAAAGCGGCUCUCUGGAACGGUACUGACGCUGAGACGCGAAAGCGUGGGGAGCGAACAGG
This 253-nucleotide ribosomal RNA is filed under the name uncultured bacterium. RNAcentral's name for it is "partial 16S ribosomal RNA". It matches the Rfam family "Bacterial small subunit ribosomal RNA", at positions 524 to 776 of the family's 1533-position model. The record is from RNAcentral.